This is a long non-coding RNA of Gopherus evgoodei (Goodes thornscrub tortoise), 579 nucleotides long. RefSeq lists it as uncharacterized. The record is from RefSeq and is a predicted model, not a curated record. NCBI's taxonomy places the organism in Eukaryota, Metazoa, Chordata, Testudines, Testudinidae. The transcript has 3 exons.
UCUGUGGCCUGCCUUGUGCAGGAGGUCAGACUAGAUGAUCAUAUUGGUCCCUUCUGACCUAUGAGUCUAUGAGUAAGAGCACGGGAUGAAAAAGCAGCAUUUAUUCCUCUAGACACUGCUUUACUGCUCUCCUAAUUCCAACCUCUACUCCACCUUCACAGCAAUAAUCCCGUGAAAGGAUCUCUGUGCAGAGAGGAGCUGCUGAAACGACUGGGUACUUUGUGACAGGCCCCACUGCUGGGUGGGAGAUCCCUUCCUGAUUUAGCCAUUGGGAAAUUCACACCCCUCUCCCUGUUGGGUAUCAGUUAAGAUUGCUGCAGACAAGCAAGGAUGGGAAAAGUUAAGCCACCUAAUCUGACCCACCCUUCCACCCACAGCUAUACACUUCAUUGCUAGAGCAGUUGCCGAAUGCCCCAGCCUUGAUUCUUCUCCCUAGGCAUGCCAGCCUCCAGCACUCCAGGGAGCUGGCUUCCCAAAGCUCUGCAGAGAAGUGGGUGAGGGUGUCAAGCUGGUCUUUGUUGUGAUGUGGGGUUGGGGCCAGCACAUCCCAGAGAGAGAGAGAAAGAGAGGGAGAGAGAG